Molecule: transfer RNA, 84 nt
Filed under: Candidatus Nanopelagicaceae bacterium
Lineage: Bacteria; Bacillati; Actinomycetota; Actinomycetes; Candidatus Nanopelagicales; Candidatus Nanopelagicaceae
Also listed under: 3 other names
Description: tRNA-Leu
Rfam family: tRNA
About the family: Transfer RNA (tRNA) molecules are approximately 80 nucleotides in length.
Source: RNAcentral
GCGGGAGUGGUGAAAUGGCAGACACGCAGGUCUUAGGAACCUGUGACUUCGGUCGUGUGGGUUCAAGUCCCACCUCCCGCACCA